GAUGAAGAACGUAGUGAAAUGCGAUAAUUAAUGUGAAUUGCAGAAUUCAGUGAAUCAUCGAGUCUUUGAACGCACAUUGCGCCCCCUGGUAUUCCGGGGGGCAUGCCUGUCCGAGCGUCAUUGCUGCCCUCAAGCACGGCUUGUGUGUUGGGCUUCCGUCCCUGGCAGCGGGGACGGGCCCAAAAGGCAGUGGCGGCACCAUGUCUGGUCCUCGAGCGUAUGGGGCUUUGUCACCCGCUCCCGUAGGUCCAGCUGGCAGCUAGCCUCGCAACCAAUCUUUUUAACCAGGUUGACCUCGGAUCAGGUAGGGAUACCCGCUGAACUUAAGCAUAUCAAUAAGCGGAGGA
RNAcentral lists this unclassified non-coding RNA (347 nucleotides) under soil metagenome. Its description in RNAcentral is "partial contains 5.8S ribosomal RNA, internal transcribed spacer 2, and large subunit ribosomal RNA". The stretch from base 1 to 120 matches the Rfam family "5.8S ribosomal RNA", at positions 35 to 154 of the family's 154-position model. The record is from RNAcentral.